AUGCACGCUGGCGGCGUGCCUCAUACAUGCAAGUCGAGCGAACAGACGAGGAGCUUGCUCCUCUGACGUUAGCGGCGGUCGGGUGAGUAACACGUGGAUAACCUACCUAUAAGACUGGGAUAACUUCGGGAAACCGGAGCUAAUACCGGAUAAUAUAUUGAACCGCAUGGUUCAAUAGUGAAAGACGGUUUUGCUGUCACUUAUAGAUGGAUCCGCGCCGCAUUAGCUAGUUGGUAAGGUAACGGCUUACCAAGGCAACGAUGCGUAGCCGACCUGAGAGGGUGAUCGGCCACAAUGGAAAUGAGAAACGGUCCAGACUCCUACGGGAGGCAGCAGUAGGGAAUCUUCCGCAAUGGGCGAAAGCCUGACGGAGCAACGCCGCGUGAGUGAUGAAGGUCUUCGGAUCGUAAAACUCUGUUAUUAGGGAAGAACAAAUGUGUAAGUAACUAUGCACGUCUUGACGGUACCUAAUCAGAAAGCCACGGCUAACUACGUG
Molecule: ribosomal RNA, 496 nt
Filed under: uncultured bacterium
Lineage: Bacteria
Description: partial 16S ribosomal RNA
Rfam family: Bacterial small subunit ribosomal RNA
Source: RNAcentral